UAAUACGGGGGGGGCAAGCGUUGUUCGGAAUUAUUGGGCGCAAAGGGCGUGUAGGCGGCCCUGCAAGUCUUUCGUGAAAUCCCACAGCUCAACUGUGGAACUGCGAGGGAAACUGCGGGACUUGAGUCCGGGAGAGGAGAGUGGAAUUCCCAGUGUAGCGGUGAAAUGCGUAGAUAUUGGGAGGAACACCGGUGGCGAAGGCGGCUCUCUGGACCGGUACUGACGCUGAGGCGCGAAAGCUAGGGGAGCAAACGGGAUUAGAUACCCCGGUAGUCCUAGCCUUAAACGAUGAGCACUUGGUGUGGCGGGUAUCGACCCCUGCCGUGCCGAAGCUAACGCAUUAAGUGCUCCGCCUGGGGAGUACGGUCGCAAGGCUG
RNAcentral lists this ribosomal RNA (377 nucleotides) under uncultured Acidobacteriota bacterium. RNAcentral describes it as "bacterial SSU rRNA". It matches the Rfam family "Bacterial small subunit ribosomal RNA", at positions 521 to 896 of the family's 1533-position model. Lineage: Bacteria; Pseudomonadati; Acidobacteriota. The record is from RNAcentral.